This 474-nucleotide ribosomal RNA is filed under the name Streptococcus mitis. RNAcentral describes it as "bacterial SSU rRNA". It matches the Rfam family "Bacterial small subunit ribosomal RNA", at positions 28 to 485 of the family's 1533-position model. The record is from RNAcentral. Lineage: Bacteria; Bacillati; Bacillota; Bacilli; Lactobacillales; Streptococcaceae.
GACGAACGCUGGCGGCGUGCCUAAUACAUGCAAGUAGAACGCUGAAGGAAGGAGCUUGCUCUUUCCGGAUGAGUUGCGAACGGGUGAGUAACGCGUAGGUAACCUGCCUGGUAGCGGGGGAUAACUAUUGGAAACGAUAGCUAAUACCGCAUAAUAGUAGAUGUUACAUGACUUUUGCUUAAAAGGUGCAAUUGCAUCACUACCAGAUGGACCUGCGUUGUAUUAGCUAGUUGGUGAGGUAACGGCUCACCAGGGCAACGAUACAUAGCCGACCUGAGAGGGUGAUCGGCCACACUGGGACUGAGACACGGCCCAGACUCCUACGGGAGGCAGCAGUAGGGAAUCUUCGGCAAUGGACGGAAGUCUGACCGAGCAACGCCGCGUGAGUGAAGAAGGUUUUCGGAUCGUAAAGCUCUGUUGUAAGAGAAGAACGAGUGUGAGAGUGGAAAGUUCACACUGUGACGGUAUCUACCA